CACCAUAACCUCACCUGAAUGAACAUUUUGGAUGAAUCCAAUGGUCUUAUUAUAUCUGGGACAUGUCUGUUGUGUUCCAUGCAGGAUGUUGACAGGAGCUCAAAGGGCUUCCCUGUGUGCCUGGCACUAGCAGCUGUCAAACAGGCCACACGAAACAGAAUGUUACCAGGCAGUGAAGGCUCACUGAUUGAGAAGAUGAAGGUGGAGCCCAGUACAAACGUUAGAUGGGGAGAACUUGUUGGAAUCUGUGAGAAAAUGACUGAGGGUCGUCUAGCAGAGCUGAGCCCCAGUCUGUCUCAGAUUGUGCUCCACACAGCUCUAGUGGUCCACCAGUCUCCAGCUCCUGAGGUCGAGCUCCUGAGGACCCUGUGCUUCAGUCCUGGAAAUGCCAAGGACUUAUUUUUUCCGACAAUGCCAAGUUCAGCAUAUGACAUGAAGAAUUGGGUUGGGACCUCAGGGGAAAAGGUUUGGCAGUGCCAGUGUGGUGAGGCUGUUUUAAUUGGGGAGGUAAGUUUCCAACAAAAUCACAUCAGUUCUCACUCCCUUUUACAUGCAUGUUUUAUACCAUAAUGUUAAUCUCUGGUCAUCAUUGUUUAUAGUGUGGAAAACCCUGGGUAACAGCAAAAUGCAU
Long non-coding RNA from Clupea harengus (Atlantic herring), 631 nucleotides. RefSeq lists it as uncharacterized. The transcript has 4 exons. Lineage: Eukaryota; Metazoa; Chordata; Actinopteri; Clupeiformes; Clupeidae. The record is from RefSeq and is a predicted model, not a curated record.